GGGGCUGACCGGUUUUGACAGCUGGAUGAAUCGUUCCGUAAGCAUGCCGAGCGUCGUUAGUCAGGCUCGUUAAUCCCGGCUUUCAAAGAUUAGUUGGCAACACCAACUACGCGUUGGCUGCUUAAUCAGACCGAUUAACCAGAUCCGACUGUUUCCUGGAGACCUGCUCACCCGUCUCCUGUACGGAAGCAUCGCAUGGUGAGUGGGCAGACGCAAGGUUCCGUAGCGGCUGCCGAGAUCAACGGGACUAAGCCUGCAGGUCGCCAUCGUCCGGCAGCCGGCGGGUCGAAAAUCAAAGGCCGAUAAGCAUGUAGAAAGCGGGGUUAUUCCCGGUUUGGACGCGGGUUCGACUCCCGCCAGCUCCACCU
This 368-nucleotide transfer-messenger RNA is filed under the name Bacteroidia. Its description in RNAcentral is "CAINVI01 sp016713765 Standard tmRNA". It matches the Rfam family "transfer-messenger RNA". From Rfam's summary of the family: Bacterial tmRNA, also known as 10Sa RNA or SsrA, is named for its dual tRNA and mRNA-like properties. The record is from RNAcentral. RNAcentral also lists the same sequence under 4 other names. Lineage: Bacteria; Pseudomonadati; Bacteroidota.